RNAcentral lists this non-coding RNA (30 nucleotides) under Rattus norvegicus (Norway rat). The record is from RNAcentral. Lineage: Eukaryota; Metazoa; Chordata; Mammalia; Rodentia; Muridae.
UGAGAAAGUCUUUUGUGUCCCAGAUGGAGC